ACGGCUCAGUAACACGUGGAUAACCCGCCCUUGGGACCGGCAUAACCCCGGGAAACUGGGGAUAAUUCCGGAUACCGCAUAUAUGCUGGAAUGCUUUAUGCGUGAAAUGGAUUCGUCUGCCCAAGGAUGGGUCUGCGGCCUAUCAGGUAGUAGUGGGUGUAAUGUACCUACUGGCCUACAACGGGUACGGGUUGUGAGAGCAAGAGCCCGGAGAUGGAUUCUGAGACAUGAAUCCAGGCUCUACGGGGCGCAGCAGGCGCGAAAACUUUACAAUGCGGGAAACCGUGAUAAGGGGACACCGAGUGCCAGCAUCAUAUGCUGGCUGUCCAGGUGUGUAAAAUACACCUGUUAGCAAGGGCCGGGCAAGACCGGUGCCAGCCGCCGCGGUAACACCGGCGGCCCGAGUGGUGAUCGUGAUUAUUGGGUCUAAAGGGUCCGUAGCCGGUUUGGUCAGUCCUCCGGGAAAUCUGACAGCUCAACUGUUAGGCUUUCGGGGGAUACUGCCAGACUUGGAACCGGGAGAGGUAAGAGGUACUACAGGGGUAGGAGUGAAAUCUUGUAAUCCCUGUGGGACCACCUGUGGCGAAGGCGUCUUACCAGAACGGGUUCGACGGUGAGGGACGAAAGCUGGGGGCACGAACCGGAUUAGAUACCCGGGUAGUCCCAGCCGUAAACGAUGCUCGCUAGGUGUCAGGCAUGGCGCGACCGUGUCUGGUGCCGCAGGGAAGCCGUGAAGCGAGCCACCUGGGAAGUACGGCCGCAAGGCUGAAACUUAAAGGAAUUGGCGGGGGAGCAC
RNAcentral lists this ribosomal RNA (796 nucleotides) under uncultured archaeon. RNAcentral's name for it is "bacterial SSU rRNA". It matches the Rfam family "Archaeal small subunit ribosomal RNA", at positions 85 to 879 of the family's 1478-position model. The record is from RNAcentral.